This is a long non-coding RNA of Galeopterus variegatus (Sunda flying lemur), 1187 nucleotides long. RefSeq lists it as uncharacterized. The transcript is spliced from 2 exons. The record is from RefSeq and is a predicted model, not a curated record. NCBI's taxonomy places the organism in Eukaryota, Metazoa, Chordata, Mammalia, Dermoptera, Cynocephalidae.
ACAGAAUUAUACAUAGAGAAUGGUAAAGUGUUGUGGUGGGUUUUUGUUUGUUUUUCUUUGUUAAACCCUCAUGGGCCAGGUGCAAUUUAUUUCUGAUUGAAGGGGAGACUAGAAAAACUAAACAGGAUGAAUGACUUCACGUCUUGUGAGUUGUCUUGGAGGGAGGCUUUUGAAAAGAAAAAAGGAUCAAAUAGGGCGAUGGGCGAUAGAGAGUUUUCUUAUUGGAACAGGUCAGAUAGCUUUAUGUGCUUCAGUUACUCAGCAGAGUCGAGGAGCAAAACUUAGUACAUUGUUUUGGUAAUAAUAGGCAGAAGCGAGUUCAUAUUUAAUGGCAGGAGCCUUUUAAUAUCCAAAGUAACUUCAAAGCUCAAACGCUGGGCUGCACAUUUCCCUGGAGGCUUCUGCCACUGGAGGGGGGUCUGGAGACACGUGUGGGCUCAGCAUCAGAGUUAGAAACAGUAACAAUUGACAGUACGUAAAAUUGAGAUGUGCAGUCUCUUUUCCCCUCUUUUGGUCUAAGUUACAAUUUUUCUUGAAAAAUGGUAAGCAAAAAUAGUAAUGAAUGUUGAAUAGAGCUGUAAUUUUUUCCAAAUUGUUUUAUAAACAUUUUUAAAAGAAAAUUUCAAGUGAAAAUAGAAUAACAUAAUGAACCCCAUGUCUCCUUGCCGUUACCAGCUUUCAUUACCAAGGUUACAGAUAGCCAGUCUGUUUCAUCCAUCCUCCCCCUACUUGUGGUUUUGUUGUUGUUGUUGUUUGUUUUUUGCUUGAAUAUUAUAAAGCAAACCCAGACAUCAAAUUUUUCAUGUAUGUACUUUUUUUUACAUAACCACAAUGCCAUAUCUCUUCUAAUAUAAACACAAAACCCACUAAUUCCUUUAUAGCUAAUGUCCAGUCUAUGUUCACAUUUCCCCAAUUGCCUAAAAACUAUCUUUUAAAGCCAGUUUGCUCGAAUCCGAUCCAGCAACGUCUCUACGUUGCAUUUGAUGUGUCUCUAAGGCGAUGCAGACCCCUCCCCCUUCUGCAUGCCAUUGGUUUGUUGACGACGCGGUCACUUGUCCUGUAAGGACACCCACGUUUUGGAUUAGCCUGAUUGCUUUCCUUUACUUGCUGUAAAGUGGUAGUUGGGUCAGAAGCUUGAUUAGAUUCAGGCUCAUUUUCCCCAGGAAACGUGCUGCAUUCUUGGUGCU